CAAGACCUUGCGCUGAAGGAGCGGCCGAUGUCUGAUUAGCUAGUUGGUGGGGUAAAGGCUUACCAAGGCAACGAUCAGUAGCUGGUCUGAGAGGACGACCAGCCACACUGGGACUGAGACACGGCCCAGACUCCUACGGGAGGCAGCAGUGGGGAAUUUUGGACAAUGGGCGCAAGCCUGAUCCAGCAAUGCCGCGUGAGUGAAGAAGGCCUUCAGGUUGUAAAGCUCUUUCAGUCGAGAAGAAAAGGCUGCAGUGAAUAACUGUAGUUUAUGACGGUAUCGACAGAAGAAGCACCGGCUAACUACGUGCCAGCAGCCGCGGUAAUACGUAGGGUGCGAGCGUUAAUCGGAAUUACUGGGCGUAAAGGGUGCGCAGGCGGUUUUGUAAGUCAGAUGUGAAAUCCCCGGGCUUAACCUGGGAAUU
This 424-nucleotide ribosomal RNA is filed under the name uncultured Nitrosomonas sp. RNAcentral describes it as "bacterial SSU rRNA". It matches the Rfam family "Bacterial small subunit ribosomal RNA", at positions 207 to 622 of the family's 1533-position model. The record is from RNAcentral. Lineage: Bacteria; Pseudomonadati; Pseudomonadota; Betaproteobacteria; Nitrosomonadales; Nitrosomonadaceae.